CAGGCCUCAGCACAUGCAAGUCGAACGAAGGCUUCGGCCUUUCAAGGCGCACGGGUGCGUAACGCGUGGGAAUCUGCCCUUGGGUUCGGAAUAACAGCUAGAAAUGGCUGCUAAUACCGGAUGAUGACGUAAGUCCAAAGAUUUAUCGCCGAAGGAUCGGCCCGCGUCUGAUUAGCUAGUUGGUGAGGUAACGGCUCACCAAGGCGACGAUCAGUAGCUGGUCUGAGAGGAUGAUCAGCCACAUUGGGACUGAGACACGGCCCAAACUCCUACGGGAGGCAGCAGUGGGGAAUAUUGGACAAUGGGCGCAAGCCUGAUCCAGCCAUGCCGCGUGAGUGAUGACGGCCUUAGGGUUGUAAAGCUCUUUUACCCGGGAAGAUAAUGACGGUACCGGGAGAAUAAGCCCCGGCCAACUUCGUGCCAGCAGCCGCGGUAAU
RNAcentral lists this ribosomal RNA (437 nucleotides) under uncultured bacterium. Its description in RNAcentral is "bacterial SSU rRNA". It matches the Rfam family "Bacterial small subunit ribosomal RNA", at positions 43 to 524 of the family's 1533-position model. The record is from RNAcentral.